CAACCCUCAAGCCCAGCUUGGUGUUGGGGCCCUACGUCGUAGGCCCCGAAAAACAGUGGCGGACUCGCUGAAGCCUCCUUUGCGCAGUAACACAUCUCGCACUGGGGCCCGGCGGGCUUCCUGCCGUAAAACCACCAUAUUUUACAA
RNAcentral lists this unclassified non-coding RNA (147 nucleotides) under uncultured Reticulascus. RNAcentral's name for it is "sequence contains ITS2". Lineage: Eukaryota; Fungi; Ascomycota; Sordariomycetes; Glomerellales; Reticulascaceae. The record is from RNAcentral.